Molecule: ribosomal RNA, 482 nt
Filed under: uncultured bacterium
Lineage: Bacteria
Description: partial 16S ribosomal RNA
Rfam family: Bacterial small subunit ribosomal RNA
Source: RNAcentral
GAUGGACGCUAGCGGCAGGCCUAAUACAUGCAAGUCGGACGGGAUUCAGGAGCUUGCUUCUGAUGAGAGUGGCGCACGGGUGCGUAACACGUAUGUAACCUACCUUUAUCAGGGGGAUAGCCUCUCGAAAGAGAGAUUAAGCCCGCAUAAAAUCACAGCACAGCAUUGUGUAAUGAUCAAAUAUUUAUAGGAUAAAGAUGGGCAUGCGGAACAUUAGCUAGAUGGCGGGGUAACGGCCCACCAUGGCGACGAUGUUUAGGGGAUCUGAGAGGAUGGCCCCCCACACUAGUACUGAGACACGGACCAGACUCCUACGGGAGGCAGCAGUAAGGAAUAUUGGUCAAUGGGCGGAAGCCUGAACCAGCCAUGCCGCGUGCAGGAAGACGGCCCUACGGGUUGUAAACUGCUUUUAUACGGGAAUAAACCCAGAUACGUGUAUCUGGCUGAAUGUACUGUAAGAAUAAGGAUCGGCUAACUCCGUG